CCUGAGCCUUGUACACACCGCCCGUCAAGUCAUGGGAGCCGGGAACGGCCGAAGCCGCCGCACCACAGCGGUGUCUACGCCGGGCUCGGUGACUGGGACU
RNAcentral lists this ribosomal RNA (100 nucleotides) under uncultured bacterium. Its description in RNAcentral is "partial 16S ribosomal RNA". It matches the Rfam family "Bacterial small subunit ribosomal RNA", at positions 1373 to 1482 of the family's 1533-position model. The record is from RNAcentral.